This 253-nucleotide ribosomal RNA is filed under the name uncultured bacterium. Its description in RNAcentral is "partial 16S ribosomal RNA". It matches the Rfam family "Bacterial small subunit ribosomal RNA", at positions 524 to 776 of the family's 1533-position model. The record is from RNAcentral.
UACGAAGGGGGCUAGCGUUGCUCGGAUUGACUGGGCGUAAAGGGCGCGUAGGCGGUUCGUACAGUCAGACGUGAAAUUCCUGGGCUCAACCUGGGGGCUGCGUUUGAUACGUGCGGACUUGAGUGCGGAAGAGGGUCGUGGAAUUCCCAGUGUAGAGGUGAAAUUCGUAGAUAUUGGGAAGAACACCGGUGGCGAAGGCGGCGACCUGGUCCGAUACUGACACUAAACUACGAAAGCAUGGGGAGCAAACAGG